This 522-nucleotide long non-coding RNA is filed under the name Homo sapiens (human). Its description in RNAcentral is "HSALNT0253253". Lineage: Eukaryota; Metazoa; Chordata; Mammalia; Primates; Hominidae. The record is from RNAcentral.
UCACAUAGAAACAAUUUCUAGUUCUAACUCAAAAGCUUAUUUUGCUUUGUUUUAAGCCACACUCGUGUGCACAAAAUAGAGAACCCAGCCAUGAAACACCACAUAUAUGAAGCUAAGAUACAGAGGAAUCCCCUUGUAUGAAGACAGAAGAGGAAAAAACACUACCAUUGAAUCACAAGUGUGCUCCCAUGUUCUUCCUCCGGGAAACAAAGACAAGACACCUUGGGCUGGCUGACAUGGAUUGAGGAUCAGAGUAUACUCCGGGGGUAGUCCUUUGAAGGGUAUCACCCUUCUCUUCUCUCCUGCAUUCAGGAACAAUUGCAAACUUUAACAUAACCCAGAAUUCCAGAAUUCAUUCUAGAGCAGCCCACACAGUGUCCUGAGGAGUCUCCUAUCCAGAAUCAGCUGUCCAAGAAACGUGGUCUCUUGUCCUGGGAGCUCCUGGAGAAGCCACAACUAGCAUACGGUCUCACUCGGUAAUUAACACAUUCAGCAUAUGAUGCCUACACUGGAUACUUGUUG